GACGAACGCUGGCGGCGUGCUUAACACAUGCAAGUCGAACGGAAAGGCCCUGCUUUUGUGGGGUGCUCGAGUGGCGAACGGGUGAGUAACACGUGAGUAACCUGCCCUUGACUUUGGGAUAACUUCAGGAAACUGGGGCUAAUACCGGAUAGGAGCUCCUGCUGCAUGGUGGGGGUUGGAAAGUUUCGGCGGUUGGGGAUGGACUCGCGGCUUAUCAGCUUGUUGGUGGGGUAGUGGCUUACCAAGGCUUUGACGGGUAGCCGGCCUGAGAGGGUGACCGGCCACAUUGGGACUGAGAUACGGCCCAGACUCCUACGGGAGGCAGCAGUGGGGAAUAUUGCACAAUGGGCGGAAGCCUGAUGCAGCAACGCCGCGUGCGGGAUGACGGCCUUCGGGUUGUAAACCGCUUUCGCCUGUGACGAAGCGUGAGUGACGGUAAUGGGUAAAGAAGCACCGGCUAACUACGUGCCAGCAGCCGCGGUGAUACGUAGGGUGCGAGCGUUGUCCGGAUUUAUUGGGCGUAAAGGGCUCGUAGGUGGUUGAUCGCGUCGGAAGUGUAAUCUUGGGGCUUAACCCUGAGCGUGCUUUCGAUACGGGUUGACUUGAGGAAGGUAGGGGAGAAUGGAAUUCCUGGUGGAGCGGUGGAAUGCGCAGAUAUCAGGAGGAACACCAGUGGCGAAGGCGGUUCUCUGGGCCUUUCCUGACGCUGAGGAGCGAAAGCGUGGGGAGCGAACAGGCUUAGAUACCCUGGUAGUCCACGCUGUAAACGGUGGGUACUAGGUGUGGGGUCCAUUCCACGGGUUCCGUGCCGUAGCUAACGCUUUAAGUACCCCGCCUGGGGAGUACGGCCGCAAGGCUAAAACUCAAAGGAAUUGACGGGGCCCCGCACAAGCGGCGGAGCAUGCGGAUUAAUUCGAUGCAACGCGUAAAACCUUACCUGGGUUUGACAUGGAUCGGGAGCGCUCAGAGAUGGGUGUGCCUCUUUUGGGGUCGGUUCACAGGUGGUGCAUGGCUGUCGUCAGCUCGUGUCGUGAGAUGUUGGGUUAAGUCCCGCAACGAGCGCAACCCUUGUUCACUGUUGCCAGCACGUUAUGGUGGGGACUCAGUGGAGACCGCCGGGGUCAACUCGGAGGAAGGUGGGGAUGACGUCAAGUCAUCAUGCCCCUUAUGUCCAGGGCUUCACGCAUGCUACAAUGGCUGGUACAGAGAGUGGCGAGCCUGUGAGGGUGAGCGAAUCUCGGAAAGCCGGUCUCAGUUCGGAUUGGGGUCUGCAACUCGACCUCAUGAAGUCGGAGUCGCUAGUAAUCGCAGAUCAGCAACGCUGCGGUGAAUACGUUCCCGGG
RNAcentral lists this ribosomal RNA (1343 nucleotides) under uncultured bacterium. RNAcentral's name for it is "16S ribosomal RNA". It matches the Rfam family "Bacterial small subunit ribosomal RNA", at positions 28 to 1378 of the family's 1533-position model. The record is from RNAcentral.